CUUGGUCCGGCACUCGGCGGCCCCGCGCGGGUAGCCCCGGCGCCGCAUCCCCUGGGCGAUGCGCUCGAAGGUCUCCAGGUUGCGGUGGCUGGUGCGCAGCUCCUCCUGGACCUGGCGCUGGCCCCACAGCUGGAGCAGGGCCACCGUCUCCUGGUACUGCCACGAGCUGCCCCGGCCCUUCUUGGCCAGCAGCAGGCCCCCCCGCCGCGGCGCCGCCAGGGCCCCCACCGCCUCCCCGGUGCUGUNUUCUGCAAAACAAGAAAAGAGACCGAGAGAGAGAAAGAGAGAGAGACACACACACCGCCUCAAGUUUCCGGGGGGGGGGACACCUUCUACUUUUUCAGAACCCACUCAAGCAACCUAUCUGAGCGCUGGUUUGGUUCUUCUAAGGGCGAGUCUUUUGUAAAGUGAACGGCUCUUAACGGCCUGUUCAUGACCCAAACACGGUCCUCCGCUCUGCCUGUGGACAGGAAAAAAAAUCUAUUCCUCUUCCAGUGACUGGGUGAGGAUCGUGGCCAAAGUGAAGAGGGGUCAAGGAAGAAUGGUGAAGUAAGGACAAAGGACACCCUAAUUAAAAAAAGCAUUGCCUUUCAGUUUUUGACAGCCACGGGGGGUGGGGGGGGUGGCGCCAUUGCUCACCUGGUCUUUGAUGGCAUUCUGGACCGGCGUUCGCUCCGGCCCCCUCGGGCCCCCUGGGGCUGGUCCACAAAGACGUUCUCGUACUCCUGGUGGCCAGGGGGGCUCCUGGCCGUGUCUCCCAGCGGGCUGGUGUGGCUGAUGUAGCGCGGCUGCCCGAGGCCAGCGUCGGAGGCCUUGGAGGCCCGCUUGUCGUGGCCAAGGGAGGCCACCUUUCUCCUCUGGACGAAGGCGUAGACCAGGAGGGCCGCCAGAAGCAGAGCCACAGGUGGCAAGAUGAUGGCCACGUACAGGGCCGCUCUCGUGGCGCUCCCGUGGCAUUCCUGGGCAUAGAAGUCGGUUAGGUUCAAGCGGCCCUGGGAGGAGGAGGAGGUACACUGGCACGCCGCGCUGGGCGUGCAGUUGAGGCAGGCAGUGUAGAGAUCCUUGGCCUCCUCGCAGGUGCAGGUGGCGUUGUGGCCCCUGUCCCACGAGGGGCACGUGGCAUGCGCCAGAUGACCGAGGUGCAAGGCCAGCAGCCCAGCCAGGAAAAGCCCUCCCAUCCUGUGAGGAAAAAGGCACAAGGAAGACACAAUAAAUUUCAGGAAGGCUGGACUCCCCGGAAGUGG
This 1244-nucleotide long non-coding RNA is filed under the name Pogona vitticeps (central bearded dragon). RNAcentral describes it as "lncRNA (ENSPVIG00000017883.1)". Lineage: Eukaryota; Metazoa; Chordata; Lepidosauria; Squamata; Agamidae. The record is from RNAcentral.